AGAGUUUGAUCCUGGCUCAGAUUGAACGCUGGCGGCAGGCUUAACACAUGCAAGUCGAGCGGUAGCACAGGAGAGCUUGCUCUCUGGGUGACGAGCGGCGGACGGGUGAGUAAUGUCUGGGAAACUGCCUGAUGGAGGGGGAUAACUACUGGAAACGGUAGCUAAUACCGCAUAACGUCGCAAGACCAAAGAGGGGGACCUUCGGGCCUCUUGCCAUCAGAUGUGCCCAGAUGGGAUUAGCUAGUAGGUGGGGUAAUGGCUCACCUAGGCGACGAUCCCUAGCUGGUCUGAGAGGAUGACCAGCCACACUGGAACUGUGACACGGUCCAGACUCCUACGGGAGGCAGCAGUGGGGAAUAUUGCACAAUGGGCGCAAGCCUGAUGCAGCCAUGCCGCGUGUGUGAAGAAGGCCUUCGGGUUGUAAAGCACUUUCAGCGAGGAGGAAGGUGGUGAGCUUAAUACGCUCAUCAAUUGACGUUACUCGCAGAAGAAGCACCGGCUAACUCCGUGCCAGCAGCCGCGGUAAUACGGAGGGUGCAAGCGUUAAUCGGAAUUACUGGGCGUAAAGCGCACGCAGGCGGUUUGUUAAGUCAGAUGUGAAAUCCCCGGGCUCAACCUGGGAACUGCAUUUGAAACUGGCAAGCUAGAGUCUCGUAGAGGGGGGUAGAAUUCCAGGUGUAGCGGUGAAAUGCGUAGAGAUCUGGAGGAAUACCGGUGGCGAAGGCGGCCCCCUGGACGAAGACUGACGCUCAGGUGCGAAAGCGUGGGGAGCAAACAGGAUUAGAUACCUGGUAGUCCACGCUGUAAACGAUGUCGAUUUGGAGGUUGUGCCCUUGAGGCGUGGCUUCCGGAGCUAACGCGUUAAAUCGACCGCCUGGGGAGUACGGCCGCAAGGUUAAAACUCAAAUGAAUUGACGGGGGCCCGCACAAGCGGUGGAGCAUGUGGUUUAAUUCGAUGCAACGCGAAGAACCUUACCUACUCUUGACAUCCAGAGAACUUAGCAGAGAUGCUUUGGUGCCUUCGGGAACUCUGAGACAGGUGCUGCAUGGCUGUCGUCAGCUCGUGUUGUGAAAUGUUGGGUUAAGUCCCGCAACGAGCGCAACCCUUAUCCUUUGUUGCCAGCGGUUCGGCCGGGAACUCAAAGGAGACUGCCAGUGAUAAACUGGAGGAAGGUGGGGAUGACGUCAAGUCAUCAUGGCCCUUACGAGUAGGGCUACACACGUGCUACAAUGGCAUAUACAAAGAGAAGCGACCUCGCGAGAGCAAGCGGACCUCAUAAAGUAUGUCGUAGUCCGGAUUGGAGUCUGCAACUCGACUCCAUGAAGUCGGAAUCGCUAGUAAUCGUAGAUCAGAAUGCUACGGUGAAUACGUUCCCGGGCCUUGUACACACCGCCCGUCACACCAUGGGAGUGGGUUGCAAAAGAAGUAGGUAGCUUAACCUUCGGGAGGGCGCUUACCACUUUGUGAUUCAUGACUGGGGUGAAGUCGUAACAAGGUAACCGUAGGGGAACCUGCGGCUGGAUCACCUCCUU
Molecule: ribosomal RNA, 1533 nt
Filed under: uncultured Serratia sp.
Lineage: Bacteria; Pseudomonadati; Pseudomonadota; Gammaproteobacteria; Enterobacterales; Yersiniaceae
Description: bacterial SSU rRNA
Rfam family: Bacterial small subunit ribosomal RNA
Source: RNAcentral